AAACUAACCAGGAUUCCCCUAGUAACGGCGAGUGAAGCGGGAAGAGCUCAAGCUUAAAAUCUCCAUGCAAGUUUUGCAUGGCGAAUUGUAGUCUAUAGAGGCGCUGUCAGUGCAGCUAUUUGGGAUAAGUUCCUUGGAAGAGGACAGCAUCGAGGGUGAUACUCCCGUUUGUGCCUGAGUAGCUUGUGCGUACGACACGUUUUCUUUGAGUCGCGUUGUUUGGGACUGCAGCGCAAAGUAGGUGGUAAAUUCCAUCUAAAGCUAAAUAUUGGUGCGAGACCGAUAGCGAACAAGUACCGUGAGGGAAAGAUGAAAAGAACUUUGAAAAGAGAGUUAAAGAGUACCUGAAACUGCUGAAAGGGAAGCGAAUCGUAUCCAGUGUCUAUAAUCUGUGGCAUAUUUCAUUGGCGAGUAGGUGCGUGCAGUAUGUAGGAAGUGGUUUUCUGCUCCUUGUGCUGUUGUGCGUUUGCUUGUUGGUGCCCUGUGUCGCGGUGGGACGUCAGAGUCAGUUCGUAUGCUGUGAGAAAUGGCUACUGAGGAGGUAGGCUAGGAGCUUGCUCUUGGCUGUUAUAUCUUGGUAGUUAGUUGUCGUGGUUGGGACUGAGGUGCCUACAACGUGCUUUAAAGUCUUGGGGACUCUCGUUUGGUUACCUGUUUGGAUAGCUUGCUAUGCUGACGGUGUGACUGUGCGAUUGAGGUCUUGGGUAACUUUUGCCGUUCGGGACUUUGACGAAAUGGAGCGAUUCGGC
This 749-nucleotide ribosomal RNA is filed under the name Globisporangium splendens. RNAcentral describes it as "LSU rRNA". It matches the Rfam family "Eukaryotic large subunit ribosomal RNA", at positions 62 to 648 of the family's 3401-position model. The record is from RNAcentral. Lineage: Eukaryota; Oomycota; Peronosporomycetes; Pythiales; Pythiaceae.